Long non-coding RNA from Phyllostomus discolor (pale spear-nosed bat), 2150 nucleotides. RefSeq lists it as uncharacterized. The transcript has 3 exons. The record is from RefSeq and is a predicted model, not a curated record. NCBI's taxonomy places the organism in Eukaryota, Metazoa, Chordata, Mammalia, Chiroptera, Phyllostomidae.
AUGAGAAAUGAAAAAGCUAAUUUCAUAAUUGUAAAGGGUUCAGUUAAUCAAGAGGAUACAAUCUUAAAACUAUUUUCACAUAAUAACAGAGGUUAAAAAUACAUAAAGCUAACACUGCUAAACCUGCAGUUAUAUAGAUAAGCUCACAAUUAUAGUUGAUUUGAACACCUAUUUCUCAAUAAUAAUAGGAUAAGCAGACAAAACAUAAUCAAUGGUAUAAAACAUUGAAAACGGUAUCAACUUGACAUAAGUGUACAUUUGUAGAAUAUUCUAUCAAACAACAGAUACACAUUCUUCUCAAAUGUGCAUGAAAUAUUUAUCAUGAUACGCCAUACUCUGUAUCAUAAAAAAAGUCUCAAUGGAUUUUUAAAAAUUCAAGUCAUAGGAAGUAUGUUCUCAUUCCACUAUAAAAUUAAAUUAUAAUUCAAUAAAAAGUGUUAUCUGGAGACUUUCCAAAUGUUGUAAACUAGAUAGCACAUUUCUAAAUAACUCGUGAGUCAAAAAGUAAAUAAAAGAAAAAUUAGAAAUUUGUUGGAUGUUAUUAAGCAGUACUGAGAGUGGUGUUAUAGCACAACAAGCCUGUAUUAGAAAUUUAAAAAGUCUCAAUCCAAUGACUUCACCCUUCAGGAAUUAAAGAGGAAAUAAUUGAACCCAAACUAAUAAGAAGAAAUGAAAUAGAUCAAAGAGAAAAUCAAUCAUCUAGAGAACAGAAACAACAGAUAAACCAAAAGUCAGUUAUAUAAGAAAAAAUAAUGAGAUUGAUAUACCUCUAGCCAAAUUGAUUAGACAAAAAUGAGAAUAAUUUUUCAUUAUCAGGGAUGAACAUGGUAACAUAUUAUUAUAGAUUCUACAUAUAUUACAUAUAUAAAAAUAGAAAUAUUAAGAAGAGUUUUAUGCCAAUACAUUCAAAAAGCUGGAUAACAAGUUUUUGAAAGAUAAAAACUACCAUAGUUCACUCAGAGACAGACAACAUGAAUAGCCCUAUAUAUAUUAAAACAUAUACUAUAUCAUUUACACAUUGUAUAAAAUGUGAACUGUUCUAUAAACAGAAUGCUGAUCAGUGUUUGGCUGGGGACAAGGUAGGUGUAGUAAAGAGGAUGAGAAGGAGAAUUUAAAAGAGGAAUGAGAAAUAAUUGGGGGGAUGAUGGAUAUGUUUACUAUCUUAAUUCUGGUGAUGGUUUCAUUUGUAUAUAUUCACCAAAAUAUGCUGAAGUGUCCAUUUUCAAAAUGAGUGGUUUAUUGCUCAUCAUAUUAAAAAAUUCUUAAAAAAAGAAUAAAUGACUGUUAAGCUUGAUUAAUAGCUAAUAGGAAAGCCAAGGCAUUUAGUUAUUCUUUAAAUCUUUUAUUAUACAAAACAGUUAUGUAUUAUACAAAACAAUUCAUAUCAUUCCCAAUAUGUAAUAAAAUAUAGCAUUAAAAAAGAUAAAAUAAAAGUGUGAUUCACUCUUACAUCUAAUUCCCAAGUCAUUAGUUCCAUAAAAUAGAGUAUUUGGAAAAUAUUCCUAUGAAUUUAUUUCUGGUCAUAAAGUUUUAAUAUUUAUAAUUAAUUUAAUAAGUUGCCUAAAUUUAAAUUUGUUUAAAUAUGAUAUUUGAAAAAAAAGAAUACUCAAAGCUUAACCAUCCUAAACGUACACACAAACACACACUCAGGCACACAUAAAGUGUGACAUAAACUUAAGGGUCAGGAUGGCACAUGCACAAUGACCCUCGUCCAAGUAACAAGAAUUUUAGUCCAUUACAAUGCACAUGAUUCUAAUGUUAGCAUAUGUAGUUAGCUAGUUAUUAAUAGGAAGGAAGUAAAGGGAAUAGGACAUUGUUGAGCCUAAUGGGCUGAGGCAUGAACCUGUUUGCUGCACCAGGAAGCUUAAACAUUUACAGACUCUUUCACACACUGCAGGGGACUGCCACUGAAGAGAUUUAAUGUUCAGAUCAUACAGGAAAUCUUCCCAGUAGCAUUGCCCUCCCUCCAGUACUGGAUUUUAAGGGGGAGAGGAGGUAAACACAUGUGUGAUAUAAGUCAAAAUAGUGUACAGGCAGUUGCUUGACCACAGAGGCCUGUCAGCCUAAUGUGGGAAAGAGAUCAGUUGCUGGGGUGGGGAGAGGGUCAACCCAUCAAAAGCUCUGGAAAGCUUGGGGAGUUGAUUAAUUUU